CAGCAGCCGCCGCGGUAGUACGUAGGUCCCGAGCGUUGUCCGGAUUUAUUGGGCGUAAAGCGAGCGCAGGCGGUUAGAUAAGUCUGAAGUUAAAGGCUGUGGCUUAACCAUAGUACGCUUUGGAAACUGUUUAACUUGAGUGCAAGAGGGGAGAGUGGAAUUCCAUGUGUAGCGGUGAAAUGCGUAGAUAUAUGGAGGAACACCGGUGGCGAAAGCGGCUCUCUGGCUUGUAACUGACGCUGAGGCUCGAAAGCGUGGGGAGCAAACAGGAUUAGAUACCCGAGUAGUCCCUGUCUCUUAUACC
RNAcentral lists this ribosomal RNA (304 nucleotides) under uncultured bacterium. Its description in RNAcentral is "partial 16S ribosomal RNA". It matches the Rfam family "Bacterial small subunit ribosomal RNA", at positions 506 to 808 of the family's 1533-position model. The record is from RNAcentral.